GGUUAAUAAAUAUGGUUCUCCUCCAAUGGUGUCCGUCAAGCACACUCAUCUCUGUCCGGAGAUUGUCAAGAAUUGCUCAUGGACAAAUGUUUCUUUGAUUAUAGGAUGAGAGAUAAAGCUGAAACUAUUUAUUUCGUGAUGCAAAAAAAAAAAAAAAAAAAAUUAAUAACAGAAGAAAGGAUUCUUGAAGGCUUUCAAUGAAACACUUUUACAAAAGUACGCUUUUUUUGGAGAUAAAUAGAAAAAGGAGAUUUAUUUGAAUAUUUUCAAAUUUAAAAAACAUUACAACGGAAUAUUAUCUUAUUUGAUCUUCUCCAACGUUAUACUUCUUCAGAUCUCUCCAAUUCCUCUCUCUCUCAAAUCUCUCCAAUUCCAAUUCCUUUCUCUCUCAAAUCUCUCCCUGCCGCUGUAAAGACGGAAGCUGUUGGAAGAACAAUGGCCAGCCUUGUGAUGGGAAUGUGACUUCAGAUGUUACUCGUUACAGUGAGAUGAUUAUAAAUCCUGAAGUAGGAUAUUCCUGGUGCAAACCUGAUGAUCUGACAGAUGUGGAAAACUUCCCAUAUGAUGCUCAUCAUGUUUACCGUUCUCCAAGAAAUGCUGAGUAUCCUGAGGAGCCAUUCAAUCUCAGUGAUGCAUUUAGCAAUCCUCAACCUCGGGAAAUCCUGCAGAUUCUGCCACACCCAGUUUGGGGCGACUACAGAUACCCAACGAAGAGAGGACCUGGGGGCUUGAUGUUGGAAGAUUAUCUCAAUCACUUUACUUCUAUCAGGAUCCUGGUACAGAACCUGUAAAGAGGCACUGGCCAUUAAUAGACUUGGGGACUGAAAUUUAUGUUAGUAGGCAGGAUCAAGUUGCAGAGUGGACGAUUAGUGAUUUUGAUAUUUGAAUACCAAAAGAAUGAACAGUUAGAGUUUCAUUGUCAAAUUAAUAGGAUUUGGAAGUUUUUUUUUUUAAGUUGUCAAACAUUCUAUAGCCACAAGGAAGUUAAUAGUGAUAAUAUUGUUCUGAUCUUCUGUAGGAUUUCAUUCUUCAGAAAUGAUGAUAAAAGAUGAAGAUAUUGCUUAGUAGUAAUAACG
Pistacia vera is the source of this 1076-nucleotide RNA transcript. RefSeq lists it as uncharacterized. NCBI's taxonomy places the organism in Eukaryota, Viridiplantae, Streptophyta, Magnoliopsida, Sapindales, Anacardiaceae. The record is from RefSeq and is a predicted model, not a curated record. The transcript has 2 exons.